Molecule: ribosomal RNA, 434 nt
Filed under: uncultured bacterium
Lineage: Bacteria
Description: bacterial SSU rRNA
Rfam family: Bacterial small subunit ribosomal RNA
Source: RNAcentral
AACGCGAAGAACCUUACCAAGUCUUGACAUCCCUCUGACCGGUCCGUAAUGGGACUUUCCCUUCGGGGCAGAGGAGACAGGUGGUGCAUGGUUGUCGUCAGCUCGUGUCGUGAGAUGUUGGGUUAAGUCCCGCAACGAGCGCAACCCUUAUCCUUAGUAGCCAGCAGUUCGGCUGGGCACUCUAGGGAGACUGCCAGGGAUAACCUGGAGGAAGGUGGGGAUGACGUCAAAUCAUCAUGCCCCUUAUGAUUUGGGCUACACACGUGCUACAAUGGCGUAAACAAAGGGAAGCGACCCCGCGAGGGCAAGCAAAUCUCAAAAAUAACGUCUCAGUUCGGAUUGCAGGCUGCAACUCGCCUGCAUGAAGCUGGAAUCGCUAGUAAUCGCGAAUCAGAAUGUCGCGGUGAAUACGUUCCCGGGUCUUGUACACACCG